RNAcentral lists this long non-coding RNA (1018 nucleotides) under Olea europaea subsp. europaea. Lineage: Eukaryota; Viridiplantae; Streptophyta; Magnoliopsida; Lamiales; Oleaceae. The record is from RNAcentral.
AUCAUCUCGACGCGGAGUUGAGACAGAUGUCAAGCAAAGCUACUAUGGAAUAGUAGCUUUGAUAGUUUCACUACUGUGUUAGAGUUGCUCGAUGAUCAGCAUGCUGAUAUGCUGCGCCAAUCCUUCCUGUGGGCCUUGUACCCGUUGAGAGAUCUGCAGUACUCAGGUCAGAUUUUUGAUGCACUUCCAUGUCGAUUGUUGAGUGCAGUCGACGGUGAUGCCCUCCAAUUCACAGUCGGGGGCAAAGUCGCCAGUUUUUCGAUGUUCGAGUUUGCUCUGAUCACGGGAUUAAAGAUUACGAACAAUGAAGCAGCGGGUGAUGAGACCCGGAGAAGAAAUAGGCUACAUGACGCUUACUUCGAGGGAUAGGGUACUGUGCUUCUUACACAGCUGUUCGACGCAAUUAGGAGGUGUGAUCAGAUGUUAGACAGACUGAAGUUAGGUCUGAUCUAUAUCCUUGAGAGCGUGAUGCGGUGUCACCACAAGAAGACUGCGAUCGACCUCUUCCAUCUGGAGAUCGUUGACGACAUCGAUCGUUUCAACAACUAUUCGUGGGAUUGGAGAUGUUUUGAAGACACCGUACACAUCUUUACCAGAUCGCACUCGAAGCCGAAGGGGGUCGUGCGUAAGUACGACACCUAUGGAUUGCCCCUGACGGUGUAGGUAAAUGGUUAAUAUAAUGAAUGUUAAAACUUUUUUCCUAUUGAAUUUGUAUAUAAUAAUUGUAUGUAUUGCAGAUCUGGACGUAUAAGAUUGUCCCCCUAUUGGGUGCCCGCUUUGCAAGGGGAGGGAAGACACACUGCCCUCGAAUGCACCACUGGAGAGCAUCUCGAUCGAAGGGAUGUCCCACUGGGAGACAGUUAUCGGCUAUCUUCGAUGACCCUGAAGUGAGAAUUAUGCAUUUGUAAUUUAUAUUAUGUGUGAUUUAACAUAUGAUUACAUGAUCGUUAACUAGUUCAAAUGUCAAUAUGUCAGCUUCAAGUCAUAACUGAGUUGACGUCGUCGAUGGAAGAUGAGG